This 255-nucleotide ribosomal RNA is filed under the name uncultured bacterium. Its description in RNAcentral is "partial 16S ribosomal RNA". It matches the Rfam family "Bacterial small subunit ribosomal RNA", at positions 91 to 354 of the family's 1533-position model. The record is from RNAcentral.
UAACACGUUAAGUCGGUACCGUAAACCUGCCCCUGUCAGGGGGACAACCCGCCGAAAGGCGGGCUAAACCCGCGUACAUGCCACCGGGGCAUCCCGGAGGCAGGAAAGGCUUCGGCCGGACAGGGAUGGGCAUGCGGCGCAUUAGGCAGUAGGCGGGGUAACGGCCCACCUAACCGACGAUGCGUAGGGGUUCUGAGAGGAAGGUCCCCCACACUGGUACUGAGACACGGACCAGACUCCUACGGGAGGCAGCAG